This 92-nucleotide transfer RNA is filed under the name Pelodiscus sinensis (Chinese soft-shelled turtle). The record is from Rfam by way of RNAcentral. Lineage: Eukaryota; Metazoa; Chordata; Testudines; Trionychidae.
GUGGCACAAUGGACAGUGUGUUGGACUUCUAACCUGUGAUGAUCAGUGUGAGCCAGGUGACAUGUUCAAAGGUCGUGGGUUCAAAUCCCCCC